GGGGAUGACGUCAAGUCACUCAUGGCCCUUACGGCCUGGGCUACACACGUGCUACAAUGGUCCGGUACAAAGGGUUGCCAAGCCGCGAGGUGGAAGCUAAUACCCAUAAACCGAUCGUAGUCCGGAUCGCAGUCUGCAACUCGACUGCGUGAAGUCGGAAUCGCUAGUAAUCGUGAAUCAGAAUGUCACGGUGAAUACGUUCCCGGGCCUU
Molecule: ribosomal RNA, 211 nt
Filed under: uncultured Pseudomonas sp.
Lineage: Bacteria; Pseudomonadati; Pseudomonadota; Gammaproteobacteria; Pseudomonadales; Pseudomonadaceae
Description: partial 16S ribosomal RNA
Rfam family: Bacterial small subunit ribosomal RNA
Source: RNAcentral